AGUGCCCUACGGGACGCAGCAGUGGGGAAUAUUGCACAAUGGGGGAAACCCUGAUGCAGCGACGCCGCGUGAGCGAUGAAGUAUUUCGGUAUGUAAAGCUCUAUCAGCAGGGAAGAAAAUGACGGUACCUGACUAAGAAGCCCCGGCUAACUACGUGCCAGCAGCCGCGGUAAUACGUAGGGGGCAAGCGUUAUCCGGAUUUACUGGGUGUAAAGGGAGCGUAGACGGUCCUGCAAGCCAGAUGUGCAAGCCCGGGGCUCAACCCCGGGACUGCAUUUGCACCUGU
Molecule: ribosomal RNA, 286 nt
Filed under: uncultured bacterium
Lineage: Bacteria
Description: partial 16S ribosomal RNA
Rfam family: Bacterial small subunit ribosomal RNA
Source: RNAcentral